CUAAGAUAUACAUUACGUAGAGUCUCUAUCUCUCUAGCUAAUUUUCAAUGCAUAUGCUUAUCCGUAUAUAUUGUUCACUUAAGCACUACAUAUUGCAUUUGCAUGUUAGUCAGGGAUAUGAAUGACUGAGAAAAUCUUUAUGCAAUUUUUUGGCACGUGAUCUACAUUUUGUCACUAUAAUAUGUGGAACACGUUGUUCAUAUUCCUUACCAACUCUUACUGCAUUAUUACACCUUGGUAGUUGAUACAACAUUCUCACAAAAUUUGACUGGUAGUAGUAAUUGUUUAAGAUUGUGGUAGUUUCACCAAUUUGAUUUUUGAAAUUACAACUUUAUCUUUAUAAUCUGGGAAAUGGUUUUUUGUGUUUUCAUAAUUUGGGGGUGUGUAUGUUGAAAUUUGAGUGAGGACGAGCCUUGGCACAACAGUAAAAUUGCUUCUAUGAGACCUGGCACAAUAUUACAAUUGCUUCUAUGUGACCAGAAGGUUGUUUUCAAAUCAUGGAAACCACGUCUCUGAAAAAAAA
RNAcentral lists this unclassified non-coding RNA (523 nucleotides) under Hevea brasiliensis (rubber tree). Lineage: Eukaryota; Viridiplantae; Streptophyta; Magnoliopsida; Malpighiales; Euphorbiaceae. The record is from RNAcentral.